GACGAACGCUGGCGGCGUGCUUAACACAUGCAAGUCGAACGGAAAGGCCCUGCUUUUGUGGGGUGCUCGAGUGGCGAACGGGUGAGUAACACGUGAGUAACCUGCCCUUGACUUUGGGAUAACUUCAGGAAACUGGGGCUAAUACCGGAUAGGAGCUCCUGCUGCAUGGUGGGGGUUGGAAAGUUUCGGCGGUUGGGGAUGGACUCGCGGCUUAUCAGCUUGUUGGUGGGGUAGUGGCUUACCAAGGCUUUGACGGGUAGGCGGCCUGAGAGGGUGACCAGCCACAUUGGGACUGAGAGACGGCCCAGACUCCUACGGGAGGCAACAGUGGGGAAUAUUGCACAAUGGGCGGGAGCCUGAUGCAGCAACGCCGCGUGCGGGAUGACGGCCUUCGGGUUAUGAACCGCUUUCGCCUGUGACGAAGCGUGAGUGACGGUAAUGGGUAAAGAAGCACCGGCUAACUACGUG
Molecule: ribosomal RNA, 468 nt
Filed under: uncultured bacterium
Lineage: Bacteria
Description: partial 16S ribosomal RNA
Rfam family: Bacterial small subunit ribosomal RNA
Source: RNAcentral